UACGGGAGGCAGCAGUGGGGAAUAUUGCACAAUGGGCGAAAGCCUGAUGCAGCUAUGCCGCGUGUAUGAAGAAGGCCUUAGGGUUGUAAAGUACUUUCAUCGGGGAGGAAAAACAAAACUAAUAAUUUUAUUUCUUGACGUUACCCGAAAAAGAAGCACCGGCUAACUCCGUGCCAGCAGCCGCGGUAAUACGGAGGGUGCUAGCGUUAAUCAGAAUUACUGGGCGUAAAGAGCACGUAGGUGGUUUUUUUAAGUCAGAUGUGAAAUCCCUGGGCUUAACCUAGGAACUGCAUUUUGAAACUGAAAUACUAGAGUAUCGUAGAGGGAGGUAGAAUUCUAGGUGUAGCGGUGAAAUGCGUAGAUAUCUGGAGGAAUACCUGUGGCGAAAGCGGCCUCCUAAACGAAUACUGACACUGAGGGUGCGAAAGCGUGGGGAGCAAACAGGGAUUAGAUACC
RNAcentral lists this ribosomal RNA (456 nucleotides) under uncultured bacterium. RNAcentral's name for it is "bacterial SSU rRNA". It matches the Rfam family "Bacterial small subunit ribosomal RNA", at positions 340 to 786 of the family's 1533-position model. The record is from RNAcentral.